GAUGAACGCUGGCGGCGUGCCUAAUACAUGCAAGUCGAGCGAACGGACGAGAAGCUUGCUUCUCUGAUGUUAGCGGCGGACGGGUGAGUAACACGUGGAUAACCUACCUAUAAGACUGGGAUAACUUCGGGAAACCGGAGCUAAUACCGGAUAAUAUUUUGAACCGCAUGGUUCAAAAGUGAAAGACGGUCUUGCUGUCACUUAUAGAUGGAUCCGCGCUGCAUUAGCUAGUUGGUAAGGUAACGGCUUACCAAGGCAACGAUGCAUAGCCGACCUGAGAGGGUGACCGGGCACAUAGGGACCGAGAGACGGCCGAGACUCCUCCGGGAGGCAGAAGUGUGGAAUGGUGCAGAAUGGGCGGAAGCCGGAUGCAGCAAAGACGUGUGAGGGAUGACGGCCGUCGGGUGGUAAACCGGUCUAGCCGCUGAAGAAGCGUGAGAGCCGGGAAUGGGUAAAGAAGCACCGGCUAACUACGCG
This 477-nucleotide ribosomal RNA is filed under the name uncultured bacterium. RNAcentral's name for it is "partial 16S ribosomal RNA". It matches the Rfam family "Bacterial small subunit ribosomal RNA", at positions 28 to 507 of the family's 1533-position model. The record is from RNAcentral.